AAACUCCUGCCUUGUGCGAUAAAAUGUGGUCGUUUUUAAUCCUACACUUAUAUUAAUCGGAGGCUCUUGUCUCGACGGGAAUUGCAGACCUCCCCCACUGGGGAAGAAGGGAGCGUGAAGCGUCAGCAGAGCAUAUCCAACCUUGCUGUUACAAGCCGGGUUUUAAUAUGAUCACAUACGGCUUGGCGGGAGUAUU
RNAcentral lists this non-coding RNA (196 nucleotides) under Oscillospiraceae bacterium. Its description in RNAcentral is "6S RNA". It matches the Rfam family "6S / SsrS RNA". From Rfam's summary of the family: E. coli 6S RNA was the first non coding RNA to be sequenced, but its function was unknown until recently. It consists of 184 nucleotides that fold into an extended hairpin structure with a large single-stranded internal bulge. Lineage: Bacteria; Bacillati; Bacillota; Clostridia; Eubacteriales; Oscillospiraceae. The record is from RNAcentral.